Molecule: long non-coding RNA, 215 nt
Filed under: Marmota monax (woodchuck)
Lineage: Eukaryota; Metazoa; Chordata; Mammalia; Rodentia; Sciuridae
Source: RNAcentral
UAUAAACCAACAUUUUUAGGAUAUGGGCUUGAUAGCUUAUUUAGCUGACCUUACUAGUAGGACAUGGUGUAUAGGGUAGCACGAAGAAUUUUGGGUUCUUAUGUUAGGUCAUAUAUGGUUCUAGAACUAGGAAGGCUCAAACUUCUGUUAUUUACUCUAUCAAAGUAACUCUUUUAUCAGACAUAUUUCUUUAAGUUUGAGGGGGAACACAUGGU